CGGGGCUUAAAGUCUUGUAAUUGGAAUGAUGGGAAUUUAAAUCUCUUCCAGAGUAUCAAUUGGAGGGCAAGUCUGGUGCCAGCAGCCGCGGUAAUUCCAGCUCCAAUAGCGUAUAUUAAAAUUGUUGCAGUUAAAAAGCUCGUAGUUGAAUUUCUGCUGCAUUGCUUGUGUCCCUCUGGGGUCUGUGCAUGUGGCUUUUUUCGGACGGAGUUUCUUUGUCUGAAUGUUUACUUUGAGAAAAUUAGAGUGCUCAAAGCAGGCUUUCGCCUUGAAUAGUUUAGCAUGGAAUAAUAAAGUAGGACUUUGGUUCUAUUUUGUUGGUUUUAGGUACCAAAGUAAUGGUUAAUAGGAACAGUUGGGGGCAUUCGUAUUUAACUGUCAGAGGUGAAAUUCUUAGAUUUGUUAAAGACGAACUACUGCGAAAGCAUUUGCCAAGGAUGUUUUCAUUAAUCAAGAAC
This 458-nucleotide ribosomal RNA is filed under the name Theileria annulata. Its description in RNAcentral is "SSU rRNA". It matches the Rfam family "Eukaryotic small subunit ribosomal RNA", at positions 486 to 984 of the family's 1831-position model. Lineage: Eukaryota; Apicomplexa; Aconoidasida; Piroplasmida; Theileriidae. The record is from RNAcentral.